RNAcentral lists this ribosomal RNA (253 nucleotides) under uncultured bacterium. RNAcentral's name for it is "partial 16S ribosomal RNA". It matches the Rfam family "Bacterial small subunit ribosomal RNA", at positions 524 to 776 of the family's 1533-position model. The record is from RNAcentral.
GACAGAGGGUGCAACCGUUGUUCGGAAUUACUGGGCGUAAAGCGUGUGUAGGCGGCUAUGUAAGUCGGAUGUGAAAGCCCUGGGCUCAACCCAGGAAGUGCACUCGAUACUGCGUAGCUAGAGUACCGGAGAGGUUGGUGGAAUUCUCGGUGUAGAGGUGAAAUUCGUAGAUAUCGAGAGGAACACCGGUGGCGAAGGCGGCCAACUGGACGAGUACUGACGCUGAGACACGAAAGCGUGGGGAGCAAACAGG